This is a long non-coding RNA of Apis dorsata (giant honeybee), 2377 nucleotides long. RefSeq lists it as uncharacterized. NCBI's taxonomy places the organism in Eukaryota, Metazoa, Arthropoda, Insecta, Hymenoptera, Apidae. The record is from RefSeq and is a predicted model, not a curated record. The transcript has 3 exons.
AUCAGAUAAAAAGAAACGAAUCGAAAAAGUUAGGAUUCAAGGCCAAAAGCACAUCGUCCAAAGCCAUAUCGUAUACGAAGAAAUAACAUCCAUCCACCGAUCUUUAAACGAAAGAAAGUGACACGCCUAUCCAACGUACAAUCGAAUUCCAAAAAAAUUAGAUUUCGAGCAAACUUCUUCUGUGACCUAAUCGCAUUACGUCGAUAUCUAAUAUUUCACCCUAAAAAGAGGAGAGAAAGAGAGAGAGAAAGAGAAAACACAGAGUUUGUUCCAUCAAUCUUCGAUAACACCACAGUCUCUCACAGAACAAUCUCGCAACAGAGGAAAGCAAUAUCCUCCAACCCUUCCAACAAGCUAAGAAGAAAGAAAGAAAGAAAGAAAAACAAGAUACAACACUAAAGCUUUAUACAGUGUACUAAAAACUUCUGCAAUUUUCAACGUUACGUCAAAGGAGCAAUAAGACCAUCACCAUCUUAUCAUCCAUCUUCCUUCAUCAUCCUUCCUUCAAUUUAAAAAAAAAAAAAAUACAUCCCUAGAUACGCCAUACCAAGUGUCAUCCCCAAUCAUCGAUCGGUCACUCAUCCUCGAUCUUCGAACAAUCAUCUUCCGAUCAAUUUCUCGAGUCGAAGCAUAGAAUCGAGUCGAAUCGAAUUCAAUCCCCUGGAACGUCAAGGGAUCAAGGGACAAUCGGUUGAGAGAGAAAGGGUGGCCGCAUGCGGGUACGACGAAUGCGGCCUGGAGCAGCGACGCAUCCGGGGCGAGAAAGCAGCGGCCGGAGUCACUGACCUCUCACCCCCAAUCACCGUCCAGAGUGUGAUGUUUGAUGCUGCAGUGGUGUUUUAUGCGGCGACGUCGAAAAGGUGCUUUCAACACCGAGCCAGUUAACGUUCACCGUACGACGACACACAGGGCAUAUUCUCGCCGCGGGGAACCUUGACACGCCGCGAUAAACGCUUGCCCCCUCUCCUCGGCCGAAAUAUUACGAGCGAGCACGAGGCACGGAAACGAGUCGUCCGAUUCAUCGUGUCGGCUCGAUCGGUGACGAGUUUCGACGAACGUUGCCGAUCGCCGCGGAUCUUCCCCCCUUCCCCCCCAUUAGGACCACCGUUCGCCAAAUAGGCGGCCAGUUUCGCGCGUGACACGCACCGGUGUCGACGUACGGUGUCGCGGUUGUCGCGCGAUGCAGCUACGCCACUUCCGUUCCCGUCCAACCUGCACGGCCGCGUCGCGGAAAUCGUCGUGACGCCUCUACGUGUGUGCCUCUUGUGCUCUCUCCAUCUCGUGAUUGUCCACUGUACGGCCGAUGAUGGGAUUUAUUAUGGGCUGCGCGUGCUUCAAAGCUGCCAUCCUGUCGCAUCUGUUUCAAGGUAAGAGUCGUCAAAUUUCUAAGAAUAUUCGACGUAAAGGAUACAAGUUUAGAGACUCGAAAAUGUGUAAGUUAACAUGUAUCUAAUUGCAACGUGAUUUUCUAAAAAAAUCUAUAGAAAGAAAUUAUAUUUAUUCGUGUAAUCAUAGAAAUUAUACAAUAACCAAGAUGCAAGAUGUGUCAAAAAUUAAACAAAGAACGUAUUAUAAUAUAAUCAAUCCGAGUUAUAACGAGUUAAAACUUCUACAAACUUGUCAAAAUCUUCUCAAAAUGAAGAGAAGGAAAAAAGAAAGUAGAAAAAGAAUGGCAAACAUCCGGGUUUACCUUCAACCCUGUUACACCCCUCGACGUCCAUCGUAUCGCAAAAAGUGUUUCCAACGGUCCUCCACCUUUCCCCUUCGUCGAAUCGAUACUGUUUAUCGCGUUCCAAAGAUGUCCCGUGAAUCAGUCGGCGCGUGGAAAAAUAUUCGUCUGGGUGAUCGUAAACGUUGGUGGUCCAUGAACUGUGCGCGUGUAUCCGCGUAUACACGUCUGAAAUUUAUUUCUUGAUUCGUGGAUGCGCCCUCGGGAGAUGUCGGUGGUUUCAACCGUAAAACAGGUUGCCAUGGCUACCCAAGCGAGUUUUACGAGUGCCUUGAACCCUCCUACGAAUUGCAACCCCACCCUCGUGGGUCUUUUACCCUUGUAUCCCCAAUUCCUGCCCUCCAAAAUCAUUCCUCGUUCCGGAAACUUCCGGAUCUCGUCGAUCCACGAUCUGUUUUUUCGGCUUGAAAAAUUCCAUUCGGUGAAUGGAAAACACAUACGGGCUCGUCUCGAAUAAAUGAAGGCUGGCGCUAUUUAUAAGCGGGUUCAGACGUCUGGCUGAGGGUCAACGGGGUUCAGAUGGAUCACGAUUUUAUUGCGAGAUUAAUUGGAAUUUGAAUGGAGGGGUGGUAAAUAAGGAUGGUUAAUAGAUUCGAGGGUAGAAGCGAGUAGUUUAAAAAUUCUUCUUCACUUUGUAAAUUAAUUUCG